CUGAGCUGGGUGCUUGCACCUGGUGGAUGAGUGGCGAACGGGUGAGUAAUACGUGAGUGACCUUCCUUGGACUCUGGGAUAAGCCCGGGAAACUGGGUCUAAUACCGGAUACGACCAGUCCUCGCAUGGGGUGCUGGUGGAAAGGGUUUGUACUGGUUCUUGAUGGGCUCACGUCCUAUCAGCUUGUUGGUGAGGUAAUGGCUUACCAAGGCGACGACGGGUAGCCGGCCUGAGAGGGUGACCGGCCACACUGGGACUGAGACACGGCCCAGACUCCUACGGGAGGCAGCAGUGGGGAAUAUUGCACAAUGGGCGCAAGCCUGAUGCAGCGACGCCGCGUGGGGGAUGACGGCCUUCGGGUUGUAAACCUCUUUCAGCAGGGAAGAAGCGAAAGUGACGGUACCUGCAGAAGAAGCGCCGGCUAACUACGUGCCAGCAGCCGCGGUAAUACGUAGGGCGCAAGCGUUGUCCGGAAUUAUUGGGCGUAAAGAGCUCGUAGGCGGUUUGUCGCGUCUGCUGUGAAAGCCCGGGGCUCAACCCCGGGUGUGCAGUGGGUACGGGCAGGCUGGAGUGCAGUAGGGGAGACUGGAAUUCCUGGUGUAGCGGUGAAAUGCGCAGAUAUCAGGAGGAACACCGAUGGCGAAGGCAGGUCUCUGGGCUGUUACUGACGCUGAGGAGCGAAAGCAUGGGGAGCGAACAGGAUUAGAUACCCUGGUAGUCCAUGCCGUAAACGUUGGGCACUAGGUGUGGGGGGACAUUCCACGUUUUCCGCGCCGUAGCUAACGCAUUAAGUGCCCCGCCUGGGGGAGUACGGCCGCAAGGCUAAAACUCAAAGGAAUUGACGGGGGCCCGCACAAGCGGCGGAGCAUGCGGAUUAAUUCGAUGCAACGCGAAGAACCUUACCAAGGCUUGACAUACACCGGAUCGCAGC
This 931-nucleotide ribosomal RNA is filed under the name marine bacterium AK13_032. Its description in RNAcentral is "bacterial SSU rRNA". It matches the Rfam family "Bacterial small subunit ribosomal RNA", at positions 67 to 1002 of the family's 1533-position model. The record is from RNAcentral.